RNAcentral lists this ribosomal RNA (383 nucleotides) under uncultured bacterium. Its description in RNAcentral is "partial 16S ribosomal RNA". It matches the Rfam family "Bacterial small subunit ribosomal RNA", at positions 338 to 732 of the family's 1533-position model. The record is from RNAcentral.
CCUACGGGUGGCUGCAGUCGAGAAUCUUUCUCAAUGGGGGAAACCCUGAUGCUGCGACGCCGCGUGAGGGAAUGAAGUUCUUCGUAUCGUAAACCCCUUUCAUGUGGGAGCAAAUUCUAAAGAUCGUACCCCAAGAGGAAGAGCCGGCUAACUCUGUGCCAGCAGCCGCGGUACUACAGCGGUGUCAAGCGUUAUUAGGCAUACCUGGGCGUAAUGCGUGCGUAGGCUGUGGCGUACGUCGUGUGGGAAAGGCGCGGGCUCAACCCGCGGCCGGCACCUGAUACUGGGAGACUAGAGUGAGAGAGAGGGAAGCGGAAUUCGCGGUGUAGCAGUGAAAUGCGUAGAGAUCGAGAGGAACACUGGUGGCGAAGGCGGGUUGCUGG